GCUGGGCAUGGUGGCGCAUGCCUGUAAUCCCAGCUACUCUGGAGGCUGAGGCGGGAGAAUAGCUCGAACCAGGGAGCUAGAGGUUGCAGUGAGCCGAGAUUAUGCCACUGCACUCCAUCCUGGCAACAGAGCAAGACUCUGUCUCAA
This 147-nucleotide non-coding RNA is filed under the name Pan troglodytes (chimpanzee). Lineage: Eukaryota; Metazoa; Chordata; Mammalia; Primates; Hominidae. The record is from Rfam by way of RNAcentral.